UUUUUUUUAACUACACACGGUUCUUUUUAUCAUAGUCCACUUUGGUUUUAUUAUAUGUAUCAUUGAUUUUUUUGUAAAAAAAACUUUAACCACUGAUUUUAUUAAAAAAUAAUGAGUUAUCAUUUAUUUAUUUUAUUUAUUUAUCAUUUAAGGUAGUCUAUAGACUUAAAAUUUUAUAUUUUAAUAAAUAUUUUGAAUAAGACGAGUAGCCAAAGUUUUCGAAUUUUUUUUAAUAGUAUCAUAUAUUUGUGAACGGAUCGGAGGUAGUAUAGGGUAACUUCACCUAACUUUGACAAUUUAUUUGUAAGUGCGCAUUUACACCCACAAGUCCAAAAGGCAAUGAUAUUAUGUACACCUUGACCAAUCAAAAUAGUUGUUCAUAAUUUAGUAUAUCUACUGACAAAGUGACGACGAGAUGUUUUAUUAUUGUGAGGUGAUCUGGCGACCUAAGCGUGAUUCGUGGUUGACCUACACAAACUAAACAAAUGGUAGCCAGAUCUGAUCCAUAUAGUACCCUUUUUCAGUAUUUGCACGAGCAUCGAGCGAUGCGGCCGAUGCCAUGCAUGCAUGAAGCCGCGCGACAUUAUUGUGCUAACUGGGAACUAAUCAAAUUGCACACGCUACCCAUACCUACAUGUUCUUUCAGUAAAAAUGGUCGCAGCCAAACUGCUGACCGCCCUGCCAUGCAUGCACACCGAGAUAAGUGACGGAUCGGAGUGAGGCAAGCAAUCGAGUGUCUUGGCAUGCACACAGCACACUCGACUAUCACUUUGUCUGUCGCGUGCAGAAGGAAUGCAUGCGUUCCGGUUGUUCUUUCCAUCUCCUUUCCUUUUGGAGACGCACAGUGAAAAAUAUGACGUGGCCAGGGCCGGGGUCGCGGCUGAGAGACUACUUGUGCAGGUCUCCUGCUCUCGUGAAUCCAGGGUAACGCUUCCAGUUCUUCGGACACUCCGAUUCCCUCGUCAUUUCAUGGAAAACUUGCCAAUAUAUAUAGAUAUAGGCCCCACCUGACACGUUCAUACGAUGCACGUAUGAAAUGUACCACUAUCUUGUUACUAGCAACCCUAGGUCGCUAGGUUCGUACCUAUAGAUGUCCAAAUGGGCGGGUCGUGCCGGACCGGCCCGGAUUUGCUAGCGGGCCAUGUCGUGCCGCCCUACGGGCCCCAAGCGAGGCCCAAACAUGGCCCGCUAGAUUAAUAAUCGUGUCGGGUCGGCCCACGGUCCGACGGGCGUAACAGGCUCAUACCAAUAUAUGGCGUUUAAAUGAUAAAAAUAUACUAAAAUAUGCAUUUUUAGGGUUUAAAUCAUAUUUGUUAGCUCUAAACAUUUAUUUACACCCAUAUAACCAACAAAACACAUGUUUCUUGUGUUUUAUACUAUAUAUUCAAGUAUAAUAUAUGUAUUUAUAUGAAAAAUAGAAAAAAAAUAAAAUCAGACCGUGCCGGACCUAGCCCGUCGUGCCACGCCUUCGACCCACGCACGGCCCGCGUUCACUACGUGUCGUGCCGGGUUCGUGCCGGACCAAACCCGUGCCGGGUUUUGGGCCUCCCAGCAAGCCCGAUCUGUUUGGACAUCUAUAUCCGUACCCAGUUCGAAACAUAAAAAGAAACUGAUCUACUAACAUGUACGAGAUUUUUGGGGAAGUCACAAGUUAUGGGAUAAACGAGAGCGAGCGCGUGUGAUAAGUUUAUUGUUUGUAGCAGACUUUAUAGACUUUUAUGUAUCUCAUGUAAAGAGUAGUGCGCACCCUCACAUAUCGGGAGCGAAGCUAGGAUGUUACUAUAAAUGGCUAACCUGAUCAUAUCCAAUGAGCCAGCAUGCAUGGCCACACCCAUGACUAGUCCCGAGAAUAUGGGUCGGAUUUUGUGGGCCAGCACGAGCACGACUUAAAAUUAGGAGCCCAAAUUAUUACCCAACGUGAAAUAAUAUGGAGCGGGAUAGCACUACCCGAAGGCGACUCUAUACCGGGUUCAAAUUCCUGCCCUUCGGGUCCUCGGCAUGGCCCAAUGAGGCCCACAUUGUUUAAUUUCUUUAAUUUAGUAAGUUGUUGACUUUAUGUGGUCAAAUGAUGCUCACGUUGUUUAAUAUCUUUAAUUUAGAAAGUUAUGGACUUUAUGUGGUCCAGAUAUAUGGGCCGGACUUGGACCGGCACAGCCAAAGGAAGGUACGGCGUGAUUUAGUGUCAGCCUAGCACUUUUUAUGAUGACACGACACGUUUUUGGCUUGAGAUUGUUUGGUUCGAAGUAUGAUGGGUCUAGGACGGCCCAGCCCGGUCCGACCUAAUCCCUAGCACUAGCUCUGACUUAUAUUUAAAGUAUUUAGUUCUCUCGACUAAAGUAUAGUCCAUGUCACAUCAAAUUUUCAGAUUCACGAUAAUUAACAGACCUUUCUCAAACUGUUAUGUCUUCCUCAAACCAUUGGAUACACCUUUUGAACAAACCUUAGACAUGAAAUCUCCUUUGCUCUGCAGACGUCCCCACCGUUUUUGUUCCUCCCUCCACCUGAUGCCCUCGAAACUCGUCUCUCUCGCUCUUAGGUUAACUUUCUUGUUUUUUCCUCCUUUCUCACCAUCACCCGAGAACGAGAAAACAAGCAAUUUCGCUCGAAUUUCGUAGAUUUCAAACGGUUUGCAAUGUCAAAUUUUGGAAACAACAGAUUUCGUUUUUCUCGACGGAUUUCGCUGUUUUCUCGACGACGUUCGUCGUUUUCUCGGUGAGAAGUGUUGUUCGGUUUAGGAAAAUUCAAAAUUUUGACAGGAUAUAUUUGUGAAUUGUUCAAAUUACGUUGCACAAUGACUAAUAAUAUACUCACAAAUGUGAUGAACAAAAUCACAUAAAACAUACUAAUCCACAUUGAAAACACAAUUCCAGUAUAUAGAAAGUUACAAACUAUAAUACAAAUAUGAAAUAACAACUACUUCAUACAAUACAAGUUUAAACUCCAUAGUUCAUAAUAAAGAUUGCUUUGGCUGUGUAAAAAUAUAAAUUUGAACUAUCCAUGCAUUUUCCGUAAACUUAUAUGUCUGUCACAUAAAUUACACACUGAAUACAUGUAGGCCGGUAUGAAAAUAGAAGUUUAAACUCCAAAAAAUCGUAUAAAAGUCCAUACAUGUUCAAUAUAAAAGUGUACACAUUACACAUAAGAUACGUAUAGAUCUACAUGAAAUAGAUGCUCAAACACACUCGACAAGUCUAUAUCUUGUAAUUAUAUUGUUAUGUCAUGUAUGAAUUUGGACUUGUAUUGUUUAGAGUUUGGAUUUAUAUUCAUAUGAAGUUAUAUAUAUUUGGUGAGUAGUUUAUGUGAGGGAUAUAUGUUAUAUGAAAAUUGCAUGGACAAUCCGUGUUAGUUUAUGUAUACUUGUGUAUGUUGGAUCCAGACCAGCACGAGCACGCUUGGGCCGUAGUGCUGAUUGUGCCGGAACGACAAAUAGCAGCAGUAGUGUCGUCGUGCCUAUAAGGCUAUACCGAGAUUUCCGGUACAGCGGCACCACCAUACGUUUGACCAUCGAUACCUGUUGCUCCUGUGCACGCAGCAGCUGGUACGACAAGAAAUUCGAGGUGCAGAACGGAAGCUGGCCUGUAGCUUUUCGCGACAAAAAGCCCAUAUUAUUGGGUGUUGCAUAUCAUUGUACCUCCUCAUCAUGGCGCCAUGGCGGUUGCACCACAGAGUUGCCAGCCAGUCAUGAUAAUGGAAGCAACUCAUGCUCUUCUUGCAUGCAUGCAUGCAUGUACUCCACCAUUUUUUUUGUGCAUUACGAUCUAGCUAGCAGCUACGACAACUACUGGAAUAGGGGGGAAACACGAUGAAAAUUAAAAAAAUACACACACAAAUCUAAUUAAACAUAUUAUGCGAUUAAAACUCCAAACCUGAAACAAAGCUUGGGACGGAGGGCGGUGAGAAACAAAAAGCAGCGUACGCUUGUCGUAGUGUGUGACCCUGAACCGAUCGAUCAUGCAUGCUACGGGAUCUAGCUAGCUAUAGCUACUCCAAGAACGUCUCCAUGAGGUCCGAGUAGACGCCGCCCUCGUGCGGCCCUCGAUACUCCAUCCCUGCUUGCUGCUGCUGCGGCGGCGCCGUGGAGGCCGACACGGACGGGAACGCUGACGUGGACGAGGACGAGCUCAUCCGCGCGGGCAACGUGAAGCUCCUCUUGAACUUGUUGGUGCUCUGGGCCGCGGGGCUCUCCACCUUCCUGGCCUUGUUGGAGUGGCUCUCCAGGCUGAGGUACUCCUCCACGUUCUCGGCCCCGCCGUGCGCGUCCGGCGCCGCCUUGUCGUCGUCGUCCGCAGCGCCAGCGCCAGCGCCGGGGCCGCCGAAAAGCAGCUUCGCGUCGUCCGCGCGCCCGGUGAGCGCGGUGAAGAAGGACAGCCCGUUGGGCCAGCGGAGGUCGCCGUCGGGCGCGUCGCCGCCGGCCCCCACCAUCGGCUGCUGCUGGUGGUGGUGGUGCUCGUCCAUGUGCUGCGGCGGCUGCUUGUUGGUGCCGUGGUGCGCCGCUGGCGGGAGGUGGAACAUGUGGCCCUCGUCCUUGCCGCCUGGGAACGGCGGCAUUGGGCGCGCGGAGGACGGGUGGAACGCGCCCGGGCCGGGCGGGAAGAGCGGCGACGCUCCCGCGGGCGACGGGAGCUGCUGCGGCUGGUGGUGGCCCGGCCAGCUGAAGAGCUGCGGCGGGGCGCGCGCGGCCGGAGCUGCUGGCGGCUGCUUGAGCGGGAAUGGCGGCGUCGGCGUCGGCGAGGCGCCCCGCGAGGACGAGAAGAGCUGGGAGAGGAAGAAGCCCGACUGGUAGCCGAGUGACUCGAACAUGUGUCGCAUCCGCAGCACGAAGUGCAGGUCCUCGGGUAUCUGCGCGCGCACAGUGUCAGUCACACACACACGUCGCUGUUAGUGGUAGCUACGCUUCCGUAUGAGACGCUGAGAGACGUCCACGUCGUCGACGACCAAACGAAGAAAACGACAAACGAAAGGUCAAGCGUAGAUAGAAACAGGUGGGUAGAGAGAGAGAGAGGGGGGCCUUCAAUUGGCACUCACAAUCUUGCAGGAGCCCAGCUGCAGGAGGCCAUGCCCGGCUUGGAUCACAGCUAUGGUCUGCACACAACAACAGAUCGUAUUGAUUGAUUAGAAAGACUAACGAGAAUUGUGCAGAUAAAACCAAAACACCAGCUCUUGCCUGGAUGCCUGAUGCGAACUGGUCGGUCCAUUCCGGAGGAAGCUGCAACAGCAAAAGCCGACAGGGGAAUUGGGUAAGAGCGGCGCAGGAAUAAAGGUUAUUACUGCGUUGUUUCGUGGCGUUUGAUUCUUGGUGACAGGCGAUUGAUUGGUACACAGAUGUAGCAUCCAAUUCUUCUCUUCUUUUUCAAGGAUAUAGAUGGGUGCAAAAUGCAAGUAAAAACUCCAAAAAAAACCACCACGGUGCUGUCCUGUAAACCUGGCGGGCCAUGCCAACACGCACCCGGCAGGGCAGGGCAGGGCAGGGCAGGGCAUGGCUGGCAGCACUGUGCCACAAGAGAUGCAAGUACAUUCGAUGAGCAGGGAUGGAGGAGCUGCUCGUUCGUUCCGUAGUAUCAUCUACUCUACUGUGGCGUGCAUGGAAGCUUAACCCAAAGCAGCAGGGGUGGCAGAGAGACUGCAGAAAGAGAAAGAUGCAGUGCAGAGGGGGCACAGCUGAUGAUGACGACGAAGAUGCAUGGGGGUACGUUACGUACUGCGUCGAAAGAGCUCUGCCAGUAGUUGGAGAUGUUGGGCUCGCAUUCAGAAGGUUCCUUGAAGACCCAUUUGUGACAUUUAUCAGAGGCCACCUUUCCCAUCAGCCUGCAUGCAGGAAGGAGAAGGGGGUCCAAAACCCAAAAUCAGACCCACGGUCUUGAGCACAUCAUUCAUGAUUCACAUGCGUUUGCAUGCCCCAAAAGCUCGCUAUCGCUAGUACACGACGGCAAAGCGACUGACCAAGAACGACCGACCGACCGGCGGACUGACUGACUGACAGACAGCUAGUGAGAGUGUGUGUGUGUGUGUGUGACACGCGACUCUGACGACGCCCACCCAGCUCAGCUAGCGUCCUCUCAAAUCAAAUUAAAAAGGAGCCGUGUAGCCGUACCACAGCCACAGGCACAGCCGUGAAUAUGUUAAUCACGAGUUGAUCCGGCGGUUUAACCCACGGAUUGUUUUGUUUGUUUAAGCAUCACGAGGCACCGCCCCACCCGCAACCAACGUGUCCCUCACGUGACAGCGCCCGUCCUCAGCCGCGACUUGAAAAUUGCCCGUCAGGCCGUGUCGAGCUCGCCGCCCGUACACCGCAGCAUAAUUACCGCCUACUCCCACGCGGGUCAGUACUAAUUACUAUUAAUUUCUAGUAGUACCAUUACCAGGCACGCAGGUUAAUACUACUACUUACUACUGGAGUAUAUCAAAAGCUCUGCGCGGUAAGAACGGGACAGAACAAAGUGAAAAGAUGAAAGCGCACGCAGCCAUCCCAUCCCAUCCCGCCCCGGGGCAUCCUGCUUUCCUCUCUCUCUCUCUCCUCUCUCCUCCGUCCAAACCAAAUCAAGCUGCGCACUAAUGAAGGAGCUCUCGACUAUUAGCGUCAAUCGCACUCGACGCACAGGGUUUCCUCUCAGUCCUAAUCGGAGAACAGGGAACAGCAGCGCCACGGUCUCGCGCGAAGUUGCCGGGCUGAUUAGAGGAGGAUGCCGGCGGCUAGUCGGUGCAGUCACUGUCACCUACCAGCCACCACCACAGCGGCUAGCUUAGCACGCUUCUACCUACGGUCGUCGUCGUCGUGGAGCCUAGCUAGCUAUAGCUAAUACUAGCGCUACAGCAGCCAGAGCCAGCCAAGCUAGCUAAUUAAGCCGGGGGAUUGGGAAGAGAUUGCACACGACUCAACUCGACUCGAUCGAACGCGACUGCCUGCCAUGCCUGCGUGCGUGCGCCGCCUGCACUGCACCUACCCAGUCGUAGUCCAGUACCCACCCUUCUCCGUAGUUGUAGAGCUGGAUGGACAUCUUGAUGAAGGCCUUGCGCACCGGGUCCUCGCCGUCCAUGUCCUCCAGGCACUCCGCCACCCGCGGCCGGCAGAAGCCGUCCUCCCACAUCAGCAUCCUGUCAGCGCACGGCCGGCCGGCAGACGCGACGACGGGCGGAUUAGUAGCUCGAUCCAUCUGGCUGGCGAUGAGCACCGGCAGCAGCAUGGCAGCGCGCAGCGGCACAGGCCGGAAACAGACAAUCAUCAAUGCAAGGAAUUGAAGGCACACUCACAGGCUGCCGUUGUCGUCGCCGACCUUGCACCCGUUCCCGCCGCGGCACCGCCUGCAUGCAGGGAAAUAGUACACAGUCAUCACUCGCUGUGCCUGUGAUGACAAACUGGGGCUUGUGUUGUGGGCUUAGACGGCGGCAUAAUAACAAGCAGAGAAGAGCAAAGACAAUAGCUAGCUAUAGUAGGACGGACGAGUUCAUUCGUCGGUGUCCGGACGGAAUAAGGACAGGGAGAGGCACACAUCACAUACGGGCGAGGACGGAUGGUCCAGAAGACGGAGUACGUCCAGUCCGAGCUGAGGCAGACGUUGCGGAGGGCCUCGUGGAGCGCCAUCAUCCCCGCGGCCUCUUUGCUCCGCGCGUGAUCCGCUCCGCCCCCAGCCGCGCCGGAGCCCACCAUUUUGCUGCCCCCACCCCUGCCUGCAGCUGCCGCUCCCUCGCUUCCGCCUGCUCUACCGGCCUUGUUACUUCCACCUCUCUCUCUCUCAGCGCUAGCUAUAGCUAGCGUUGCCGUAAAAACGCUUCUACUGCCCUGGGCGGAAGCGGAAGCGGAAGCUAGCUCUCGGAGUCGGACGAUCGAGCUCGGCGGCUCUAGCAGCUACCUCUAGGCCGGCCGGUAACCUUUCUUGAUCGCCCUCUCCUCCGGUCCGGUCUUUCUCCCCACCACAGCUGAGCUGAGAGGCUAGCUAGCUAGAGAGUAGAGAGUGAGGGUUAUUGUUUAGCUAGCGAGCCCUCCCUCUCUCCCGUGUCUCUUCUCCGUUUGCGGCCUGUCUCUCUCUCUCUCUCUCUCUCUCUCUCUGAUUGCUGUUUUUAACUUGGGCAAGGGGAGGGUAAACCGAAAGGCGAGGGAGGGCGGAGAAGAGUCACGGCACCCCAUGCAUGUUUUCUUGGUUUUUUUUUUCUCCUCUCUGUGAAUUGGCGGGCGGCCCAGAAGUUGGCAGCGCCAAAAGUAAAAGCGGCCCGCCCGGGUCCCCCAUCCCCUUCUACGGCCAGCUUUAUUUUUCUCUCUGCCGCUUGCUUACCCAUGCCACGCUGCACCGCUCCAGCAGCCGGGCUCGCCGCUCGCGCCUCGCAGUCGCAGCCUGCCUCGGUAUUGCGGUGCGACCGUGCGACGACGAAACGCGCGCACCGCGCAGAACGUCUCGCGCAGGCCCGGCUGGGACUGAGAGAGGCAGCGCCAGCGCGGGGAUUUUGCAGGAGCUCAGUAAAGGAAAGUGCACUAAUUUCUCUCCUACAAAAGCUACUGCAAAAUCCCAUUAAUAACAGAGAGAUUUUGCAGGAGCUCAUUAAUAAUUUAUUUAAACCCUUCCAUUUUUCUAACAGAUUAUCAUUUUCCCUUAGAGAAAAUAAACUAUUCUCUAGGGAAACUUUUCAGUAGUUUCCUUAGAGACAGUCCGGUGCCCCACAUAAGGGAAAGGCGGCCAAUCAAGGAUCUACUGACCAUUGUGUGGAGGCGCACUGGAUAUUUCGGUGCCCCCGCAGCUAGGGCAACUUUUCAGUAGUUUCUAUUUGGAAGGGGCAACGACUAGGGGCUCUCUUGUGAGCUGUAAAGGGGACUUCUAGUCACCCAUUCGAAGUACACAAGUGAAGCAAACAAGUCCAUACAUCAAGUGAUUAUAUUCUUUCUCUCCUUCUCUUUUGUGUCUAUCUAGUUUGUGUAGAGGUGCAGUUAUAAGCCUUAGAGAGAGAGAAAGUGUUGUUGAGAGCAAGAGAAAGAUCUUGAACAUUGUUACUUUGUUGGAGUGUUGUCGAAAAGAUUGUAAGCAGUCGCGGCGUCGUUGUAACUGAUAAGUGACAUAGUGGAAGGCUCUAUGUGUCGCAUUGACAUUACUGAGAAAAUGGAGGAAGGAGUUGAAAGAGACUCCAAACCAAUGUGUGGCUAACUCAAACAAGGACUAGACAAGCAUUUUAGUCUUGGUCGAACCUUAGGAUAAAUCAUUGUAUCGUGCUCUACUCUUGGUUGUGUGAUGUCACUCUAUCUUAAUUGAUUUUAUACUUACACCUCAAAACUUAAUUGUGGUGUAAGUUGUAUUUGAAGUGCAGGGUAUUUUGAUACAUGAACUUCAUUUCCGCUGCAGCCUACUCGAAGUGUCUUUCAUUCAAUUGCAAUCUAGUAUUCAAGUAGAAUAAGAAUUUCUAGUUAUUAAGUGUUAAUUUUUAUUCUCCUAUUCACCCCCUCUAGGCAACAUACAUAUUAUGUUCCUAGACAAAGGGAACUUUCACAUGGUUAGAUAUCAAUCACUAAUUUAUUGAGAACUAAAUGUAAUGGUACCUAUGAAAUGUAUCGGAGCCAUCUGUGAUCCACCACAACUAACACCACCAACGUUAACGCCAGCACCGAUUUUUUUGCAUUUUGGUCCUUCAUCGGAAAAAAAUUCACGUUUGGACCCUAAAAAAUUUUAAUGUCAUUUUUGGACCCUUUACUCGGCGCCGUAGCCUGUGGCGCCGAGGUAACACAGCUCGGCGCCAUAGGCUAUGGCGCCGAGGUACGUGCUGCGUUGGCACAAACAGCUGUCGUGGCGCCGACGUGGUACCGAGCUCGGCGCCAUAGAUCAUGGCGCCGAGCUCUAUUCUAUAUAGAAAACUUGUCUAGCUCAGUUGGUAAAAUAUAAGACUCUUAACCCUAAGGUUGUGGGUUCAAACCCCAUGGUUGGCGUUUUUUAAUACUUUUUGUAUUUGUCACUUAUUUAUUUUUUUGUUGUCCAUAUUUUUCGUUUAUGUCGCUGAUUUAUUUGUCCUGAUUUAUUUCUCAUCCAGUUUUAUUUUUGUGACUGAUUUGUUUAUUCGUUCAGAUUUUUUUAUCCGGCGAGCACAGCAGCUGUGUGCCACAGUGCUCACAAGCCGUCAACUUCUCUCCUUGUUUGCUCAGCUAACCACAAUAAAAAUCAAAUGAGAACACUCUUACUUCAAUCGUGAUCAAAUAAAAAUAUUAUAUUUUCAUUGAGUUCUUUUGAACAUAAAUUUUAAAUACAUAAUAACAUAUUCCCACUAAAAAGAAGCACACAUAUUCAUCUUUUUUCUUCUGCACUAAAUAAAAGUAUACUCCAUUAUAUACUUGUCUCAUAGAUGAUAUAUUUUAGAAUUUACUGCAUAUACAGCUGCUGUGCUCGCCGGAUAAAAAAAAUCUGGACGAAUAAACAAAUCACUCACAAAAAUAAAAUUGGAUGAGAAAUAAAUCAUGACGGACAAAUCAACGACAUAAACGAAAAAUAUGGACAACAAAAAAAUAAAUAAGUGACAAAGACAAAAAGUAUUAAAAAACACCCACCGUGGGGCUCGAACCCACGACCACAUGGUUAAGAGCCAUGUAUUUUACCAACUGAGCUAGACAAGUUUUUUGUACAGAACAGAGCUCGGCGCCAUGAUCUAUGGCGCCGAGCUCGGUACCACGUCGGCGCCAUGACGUCCGUUUGUGCCAACGCAGCACGUACCUCGGCGCCAUAGCCUAUGGCGCCGAGCUGUGUUACCUCGGCGCCACAGGCUACGGCGCCGAGUAAAGGGUCCAAAAAUGACAUUAAAUUUUUUUAGGGUCCAAACGUGAAUUUUUUUCCGUUGAAAGACCAAAAUGCAAAAAAUUCGGACGCCAGCACCACUAACUAAUCAGCAUCGUUAGCCGAUUAUCAGCAUUAUCUCCCUAACCCUAGCUCCUAGUUAUUGACCGUCCAAUCAGAAUUAUCAUCCGAUUAAUCGGUUUCACCGCCCGGAUAGCCGCUUCUCAUGACUGAUUAACCACUUGUAACCGGCGGCUCGUCAGCCCAAAACGUAACCGCGUGGUGCUUGCCUAGCCAGAUAGUGCACUCAAUAAAUCGGUAACGUCGACUGAUUAAUCGGUACAAAGUAGCGGCUUACCGCUCAAACGGACGAGCAGGCACCCCACGCGGUUAACCGGCGUAGCCGGCCGCCGGCCAGUUAGUCGACGACGCAUGCCGGCUACGUCUUCUCGGACGACGGACGAGAAUGGAGCUUGGGCGGACGCAGUUUGGCGGCAGAGGAGAGAAAGUGGCCUGGGCAAGUGACGAUGCAGCUUAGGAUAUUAAAUGUGUGUUCUGGGUCAUAUGGACCUCGGUCCGGUUAGAAGACUUUUACUUUUUUGUUUUUUCGAAUGUUGUUUGAUUUUUAGUUUAAAUUUGGUUGCGUAUUUUUGAAUUUGGUUUUAGCCGAAACUCAUGAAAUAAUCCAUAGUAUUUAUGAAAAAUUUACAUCGUUUUUCUCCAAAUUUAUAAAGAAUCUCAAAUUCAAAACUCAAAACGGGUUACAAGAACCAAUCAGCCGGGACCGAUUUCCGGCUAGCCGACCGGCUCCGCAAUCCUUGUACAUUGGUCUUGGAGCAAAACUUCCGUAGAAUUGUGGAGAAGGCAUAGUUAAUUUUGACGUAUCUCUGUUUAUGCGGAAGUUUUGAAAAAUGUAGUCGCUACAUCCUUAAAUAAAUAAAAUUUAAAUUUUUUUGACUAAAAUAAACAAUAUUCUACGUGAAAAUGAAACACCAUCUUCUAAUGCACAAACUAUUCAUAGACACAUGCAAUACAUCAUUAUCAAAUUCAAGAGAUAUCCACAGUGAAAGGUAAGAAUAGUGCAUAGAGGUACAUAUGUUCUUAUCAAAAAAUUUAACCUGUCCAGUAAUUUUCAGAAACUUGUUUGUUAUGAGACCAAGGGAGUAUAAAUUAAAAGAUUUUUAAAUAAAAAGGUAAAUUGCUAUUACACAGUCAGUAUAGAUAUAUUGUAAUCUUGCAUUUAAAUGUAUAUACUUAUCUAAAUGAGAACAUCCAUAAAUUAUUGUUAUGUAUAUUAAUAUAGUUUUCUUUAUUUUUUACAUUUUUACAAGUUCUUAAGUGAACAUCCAUAAUGUAUUUUAAUUACUCAUGCACGCAAAUAUAGUUGAGUUGCAUGAUAAAUCUUGAGAAAAAAAGAAAGACCCUAGAGAGAUGAGUGUAAUCUAUAACACAAAAUCUAAAUAUUAAUAAUUUUAGCGAUAAUUUCUUGAAUAAAUUAUUCGUAGAGUAUCAAGUUUCAACUUUGCAAUGGGAAGGAAAUUUGUUAAAUUAUUAGAGUGGCCGAUGGUUGUCAUUUCUUUUAAUUUUAAAGAGUCAUAUUCCUUCCUCCACUGCUGUACCUAUUCGAUGGGAGGUGCAGCAUAGAAUGCAAGGUGGGGUUUACUUCUUCCUCCCCUCUAUUCUCAUCUCUUUUUUCUCAUCCAUCUUCUUCCUUCUUCAACAAAAUAGAGGAGCUCAAGGGGAGCUUCAUUGUGUGGGAGGUGGGAGAGAGGGCUCCACCUCUGCCCACCUCACCCUUGGAUCCACCCCUAUAGCCACUAAUUAGAGUGUAUUGAAAAAUAUCUUUGAUGAUGACUUUGGCAUAGAACUCUAUAUGAAUAAAAGUAAACUCAAAGUAUCUACUUCAUCCCUCCUAAAAUAUACGUAGUUCCAAAUUUAUCAAAAGUCAAAUCAUUCUAGGUUUAACUAAAUUUACUAAGAGUAUUAAUAUCUAUCAAACGAGUAAAAUAGUAAAUAUAUUUGAUUAUGAGCUCAAUGAUGCUACUUAGUCGAAAGCAUAUAUAAGUAUUACUCCCUCUGUUCCAAAUGAAAACUUGUUGUAGAAUUUUAUUUGUUUCAUAUACUAUUUGAUGUAUGUAUUUUAUAAGUGUGUCUAGAUUUAUCAUCACUCAUUUGAAUAUAGGCAUAAAAAGCAAGACCUAAAAGAAAUAAUCAUUUGGGAUGGAGAGAGCAUUACCGUUUCUAUAGAUUUUAAUGAAAUUUGUGAUAUUUUGAUUUUGGGUAAAUUUAAGUCUUUAUAUAUUUAGCACAUGUAAAAAGCUAUUGUAAUAAUAGAUAUUCGGUACUAUGACUUCAGUAGUUUCGCUUGGAAGCUGGUAAUUAUGAAAGUGUGCUUGUAAAUUCCAGAUUAGGAAGUUGCUUUGGCGACGACUUUAGCUAGGACAGGGGUGCAACGUGCGCACGUGCGUGGCAGCUGAGAGAUGCCUCGUCAGUGUCAACCAUAUACAAUGGCUAAGCCGUACUAGUGGUAGGUUUCGUUACUUUGACAAUAGCAGUAGUAAGGUAUGCUAUUGUACACACCCUUCCAAAACACCCGAAGUAAAUUGUUAAAAGGACAUCGUUCGGUUUGAACUGUACAUUUGUUUAGAGUAUAUCUAUAUGUUGAACCAUAAAUUUUUUGUUGAUUUUCGAAGUCACAAACAUUCUAAUUGUAUUAGUCCCUUUUUUUUCUUCGAAGUUCUCGUGCAGCUUGACAACAUCUUAAUUUACUUCGUUUUUGCGAGUGAAAUAUAUAUAUGCCAAUUUGAUUUUUAUAUCGUUUUGCACACCGUUUCACAAAAGAACUAACUUGAGCCUUGAGCUACUUGGGACCCCAAGAUGGGCAGCCAAUGAUGAGACCAAACACCAUGAAAAGCAUGCAGAUUUGUUUAGACCUGGAUUUAGCCUAGUUAAGCUACAUGAUUAGGGUGAAGUAGCCAUAAUCUGCAAGUUGAUAGUUGCAGCCAAGUAAAUUAAUUAUAGAAUAUUUUUUAUAAUAACUUUAUUUAGAGAUGUUGAUAUUAAUACUACUUAUAUUAAAUUUAGAUGACCUUGAGCUAGUUUAAUUUUUUACCGAGCGUACCACUUCAUCCAAGAAAGCUACAAUAUCAGCCUAUUCGCUGCUUAAAGUUAAUAUUUUAAAAUAAAUUUACUGUGGAAAUGAACCAUAUACUUUAUUAAUAUUGGAAUACGUUGCUAAUUGGAAUAUAAAUUGGCGCACGGAUCAGAAGGAACCGAUGAAUUUGCCUCCCUCUGUCCGUGACGUACGCUGCUUAAACUAAUAGUCCACCGCCUUCACUUUGACUGCCUGCACCCUGCUACCCUGCAGCCCCUUGACCGAGACAGGAUUCUCUGUGGCCAACUCGGCCUCUCAGGUCCACCGCUCUGACAACUAUGUGCUUUCUGUUCCUCGACUGAUUUCUAGCCUUGGACUAAAACUAUAUAAAAACUACAUAUUCUCUAUUCGCUCUGACAACUAUGCGCUUUCUAUAUUCUCUACAUUUUUUUACCGACUCUACUGAUCUAAAACGAGAAUUACUGCCGAGCGUACAGCCUACUCACCUCGUCGAAGAAAGCUACAAUUAUAAUUUAAACAAGAUUGUUUUAAUGUUAAUUAUCCAAUUCUAUAUGAAGUACGAAAUUAUUGAUGUGAGUGCGUCACUAAAUCGAAAUCGAAUGCUUGCCGGACUGCUCUUUUUUCUCGAAUCCAAAAGGAGCUGCUUCUGAAGUUUAUUUUCAUCCAAAAAUUGAGUCUAUUUACUUCAGCUUUUUCUGAUUUUAGGCACUCAAAGCUCCUGUAGACAUACAAACGUCUAGCUUUUCAUCCUAUUUUUAUAAAAGUUGCCUAGCUGAAAAUGGUCCAAAAUCAAUGUAAAAACACAAUCGAUCGAGUCGCCGCAACAGAAAAAUAGGUCACUUUCUAGAUCUUAAACUAUAUGGUCCCAUUUAUUCCUCUUCACGAUACUCAGAUUUUCUUCAAGACAGAUUCUCAAAAAAUAUCGUCAGAAAAAGUUGAACCAAACAAGCUUUGUUAACGCGAAUUAGACAUUUAAAUAGAAAAUAUAACAAUAUACCCACCAGAGCCCGUUCUCGGAAUGAAGCCCGGUUCAGGUUCAUCGACAAAUUGGCCUAUUUAAGAAGCCGGACGACGCAGGGAGGCAGCCCAGCCCAAUACUGUGAGCUCUCGUAACCCAACUUAAACUUGGUUUUUUAUCGUGGCCCAUGUAGAUGGUGCGUGCAGUUUGCCCUUGCGAAGUCUUACAUGCGUUUUUUUUUUGCCCGGAAAGAUUCCGAUACCCACGGUCAAGUAAGCGUAAAUUUGAACUAUGGACCAAAUGUCCAAAUCUGCCUUGGUUUAUGUCCAAACGUUGGUGAGAUUUUUAUUAAAAAAAAACUAGCUCCCCUUAGAGCAUUUACAACAGGAGCCCUAAACGGGGUCCUAUUUUCAAAUUUAUGGUGUUGCUCCCUACUUGUCUGUUCAAAGAUGCAGCCUUUAGUUUUGAUAGCACCACACGACACUGUUUGUUACUAUAACACUUUAUAGCAAGAAAAAGGAAAGCUCGGGCUCUAAUAGAAUCGAACUAAAAAAUGAUGAGUAGAACGGACUCCAUAUUUGAGGCUUUCUUCAACUGCACCAUGGAGCUGAGAAUACUCCUCCAAUCAUAUCAUAGGUAUGUGUUUGGAAGUAAGAAGAAUGGAGAGAUUAAUCGGGCUAAAAUCCCUCAAGUUUCGACCAUUUCUCUUAUGUCUAAACAAACCUUAAUAUUAAACAGAUCUUGACUCCGAGAGAAACUAGUUAUAAAAUCUUAAAAAACACGAGAUGGCAUAAACUGUCGAGCGACCCCAAAAUGUCAUACUAUACGCUUACUAUUGGUCAAUGUAUAAAAUGAUUUUUUUUUGGGGGGGUGUGGAGUUCUUACAUUUUUACAUGUAGUCACGUAUUUUAAACUUUAGUGGCUACUUUGAUUUCUCAGUUCUAGACUAUGGCACAUUUUAUCGUCUUUAGUUAUAUUUCUUUUAUUGUAUUUCUAAAUAUAGCGUUUAUCUAGCUACGUAUCAAGAGGUUAUAUACACAUAGACCUCAAUCAUUGCCAAUCUCCAUCAUCCAGCCAAGCACUUAAAACCAUUGUCUGCACAAAGAGAGUGGUCACAUAUAUCUUAAUAGCUUAUUUAGGAGCAAGAGAACUAGAGACGAUUGAGAAGGCUAAAAACUUUAUUAUUUAGAAAUUGAAUAGAAAGUGAUUUUAGCUCACUCAAUCCCCUAUAAUCACUUUGCUUGCUUCCAAAGGAAGCCCUAUAAAGACUCACUCGGUUUACUCUUAAUCCAUAUAGAUGGAAGAGAAUUAUGUAUUGAAGAUAAUUAUAUGGGUAUAAAUUUAUAAUAAGUCCAUCUCUCUUAAUUUAUUCUAAUCCGAUCUAAUAUUUAUAUAAUUAGAAUAACCGAACAUUGUAACAAGAUAUACAAGUGUCUCUGGCCGGCCGCCCGUGCACACACCAUCUCGCACGGCUAAUUAGCAUUGUGAAACAUAAAACACGUCACGUCACGUAGCUCACGGCAGCACCAUGCCAGGGAUCCGUAGACCAUGUGCACGACGUUGCACUCCGCUCUGGCAGCGAAUUGGUGCAUGCGCGGGGGAGGGGUGCUCUGGACGAACAGCAGCGUGGGCCCUAGUCACGCACGACGACCGCACGGGAGCUCAUUUUCGCAGCGCGCCGUCGGUGGAUCAAGGACCCAGCCGAACCUACCCAAGUACGUACCGCCCGGCUUUUAAACCCGGCGGCUCGUUUUACCACCUGCGGACUGCGGUGAAAGUAAAACAAGCAUCCUCUCCACCAUUACCGACACAGGACACCAGAAGUGGUAACUCCUUAAACGAAAACAAGCCGCCCAACAAGAUAGGCCUAAGCAGCUAAGCUAAGCUUUCCUUAAAUAUACACUCAUAUGUACAGUUUACAGCUAGCCUGACCAGUGGUGCACCCCACUACUCUGCUGACCCCCUUGCCCAGCGCCAGGCACCAGCGGCCAGCCCAGCCCUGAGCCCUCACCUGCUCGCCACUGCUGCCUCGUCACAGUCCGAUGGAGCAUCAGCACGACGGCGCCUCAUUGAGGUCGAAGGGGAGACCGCCGCACCUUCGGCCCGUGCCCAGCUCCAGUGCCGUUGACGGUGUCUCGGUUGCCGGGGCCGUCGUCGGUGUCUGGAAGCAGACGAAAUGCCACGGAGAAGCGCAGUCGACGCCGACGCCUCCGAACGAGACGUGCUGCGGCGGCGGGUGUUGGCGCCGACGGAGGUGCUGCUGCUGCAGCUGCCCCUGCCCGGCGUGGUCGUCAGGGAAGUUGGUCCUGGCCUUGGCGCCGCGGAGCGUGCGCGCGGCGCGGUCGUACGCGAGGGCGGCCUCCAGGGGGGUGUCGAACGUGCCCAGCCACACCCGCGUCUUCUUCCACGGGUCGCGGAUCUCGGACGCGUACCUGCCCCACGGCCGCUUCCUCACGCCCCUGUAGUGCGCGUGGCUUCCUCCUCCUCCUCCUCCCUUCGCCCCGCCACUGCUGCUGUGGCUCAGCACUGCCCGUGGCGUGGGAUCCAUCUGUGACCGAGAGCUGAGAGGUGUAGGGCUUGUUGGGCUACAGGUACAGCAACGUGCGUGUGGUGUGGUGGUCUUUCCGCAAGGUCAGGGACUGAAGGCUGAAGAAAAUGGAGACCACUGUGGGGAGCAGUUACGUCGGGCUUUUGUGAUCCGGACACGAGAAAAUGGAGCGGGUCGUUCGUAACCGUAGAGAGACAGCAUAUCGGGUUGGGAUUGGGAUCCGGAGCGGGUGGCCGAGGGAGGAGACACGGCACAUCCGCCGCGACAAUUGACGUGUCGCCGGGACCACCCGUAACGCUGUGCUGUGCACGGUGCACACCCCGUCUCCAUCCCCCAUGUGAGUGAACUCUCGCGUCAAUCGUGACGCCAGCUCUGCUGCAUAGCGUGCAAGCUAGCGGCGCCGAAAGGAGCAGCAACCUUUCCAGCCGCUUCGCUGGGACCCACGAGCCAGUGAAACCUGCAUGCAUGCACAUCCCUGUCGCCCGCUUUCCUUUCCCUCUGACUGUUUUGUCGUCUACUCGCCUCGAGCAAUAAAAGGUGGCGGAGACAGGACCAAAAACGACGUGCACUGCUCAGUGGCCAGUGCCCACACAGACAGACAAAUGACCUACGUACGGGGCUCGGACGGAGCACAGCCCAACUAUGGGUGUGUUUGGCAUGGCUCUGCUACACCCCAGAGCAGCUCUACUCUAAAACUCUGGGUGGAGCAGCUCUGCUCCAGAGUUUAGAUUGUUUCUCAUAACCAGUGGCAAUGGCGGGUAAAUAACUCAAAACUCCAUGACUAGGUUGCUUUUUUGGAGUUUUCAGAGCAGCAAAAGAGGUACUCCAAAAAAUUGUACUGCAGCUCCAAAAACUCCAUAGAGUUUACAACUCUGGAGUUAGGGUGUUUGACAUGCUCUGGCCAGCUCCUCCUUAGAGUUUUGCUCUGGAGCCAUGCCAAACAGGCCCUAUGUCCCUCCCCUCCCAGAGUCCCUGUCCCACUCGGCUACUCCCUCGAAUAGUCGAAUGUCUUAUUAGUUCUACAAUGUUUAAAUUAAAUUUUAAAAAUGUUAACAAUAAAUAACUAUUUUAUUAUGUAGUUUUGAAAUAUAAUGUUUAUAUGCAUCAAUUUGUCUUAACAAAUACUUUUACAAAAAUAUAAAUAUAUUACAGAUUUAUUUGAAUUUUAAAAAUAUAUCGAUCAAAGUUAUAUUUUGAGACUACGUUACAUUCUAAACCAUAACCAAUAGUACAUGCGAGGGACUAGCAGGCUAGCAGCUAGAGGACCAGGAGGAGGACGUGUGAACAGGCACACCGCCGGCACCCGACGUGUCAUGGGUCCGUUGGCCGCUGGUUCACGUGGGCGGAAGCGUGUCGUGGAGUGGGGGGGCAGCACGGGUGGGUGGGAGUGGACCGCGCAGCGGCCAGCGGGUUGGUCGUAUAUCGCCGGCCGCUCAUCAAUAGAGGUAUGGGUGAGGUACGGCGUUUCGCUGAAGUGGGCCGCGUUCCGGAGCAACCGGCCGCUCCACAGUCUUAUCAAAAAUGACCUGAGAUUUAUAUGCGCACCGGGAGUCCACACUCCACAGUCAAUGUCAACGGCUACUGAUAGUCCAGCAUUACUAGAAAAUAAUAGUACGAAUUAAAGACAAACGAAUAUGCCAGUAGAUUGCAGCUAUAUCUUAAUGACCUAAUCAUAGAUAAAAGUUUAGAGGACACAAAAACAUAGGGGUCCUGUUCAGCCGCACAACGUGCACGUGGUUGUGCACGGCCCUGAGGUUAAUCAUGGUUUUUUUUUGAACAAAGAAAAGGCAAAACAAAAACAAAGAUAAGCAUAUACAGCUCGUUAUGGUAUCCCUAUUGUCAUUUCAAGGAUACCCAUGAAAUUUCCAAAAAGAAAGAGAAGAUAAUAAACUUCCAGCAGUGGUCACCCGACAUGAGUACAGGACCCCGCGCGGCCGGGCCGCUGACAUAGGGUGACAGGCGCACAGCCAGCCUGACCAUGCCCUAGGCGGCUAGGCCGUAGGUCCCAGACCUGGCCCCUGCACCGCGUCACGUGCCCCCACGGUCCGCGCCGUGGCGUGAUGUCACCAGACCGGAGAGCCCCCGUGCCCGUGGUACGCUAGCACGCGUGCACAUCCACGGUCCACCCGCACCGUUUGAAAAAGUGGCUGUGGCUGGCUCCGCCGUAUUCUAUGCCGAGCGCCCACGACCCCCAAGCGAGCGGCGCCUGCCAUGACCUGUCUCGAAUAGUGCGGUCUUUCUUCUGGUCGCCGCCCGCCACUGUCCGCAGACGGAAAGGCGCCGCAGCACGGAGAACGAAAACUGAAGGGCAGCGGCGGAGAGGGCGGGAGCGUCACUGUCUACUACUAGUCCAGCGCCGCAGGCCGCAGCGGCGCCGCGCGGUGGAGUACGAAUCGUCGUCCGUGGAGUGCGGUGGCGAGCCCAUCCUCUGACCGCGCGCUGUCAUUCAAAGCUACAGUAUAUGGGACGGGUGAGGCAACGUCCACCGUGGGCUGCGUGCGAGUCAGUCGUCCUUGUGGUGGGUCCCUGGCGGCGCAGCCGUGGCAGAGAUGCCGUGUCGCGCUCAUGGGAGCAGCCCGCCCGGUCCGUGCCGCACGUGGUAGGAAAAUCGGGGGCAAACGCGAACGCGACGCCGCCGAAGGUUUUUGACCGUCAGCUUGUUCGCUGCGGCUUGCUGCGGCUGCAAUCCGGCUGCGGCUGCGGCUUCUACAGUAUUUUUCUCUCUAUGGAUUGCAGCUGCAGCAGUCCAAACAGCUGCAACAGUGUCGGCUUGUAGCCAGCCGAACACGCCCCGUAUUCGUGGUGGAGGUGGCGUCACCGAGUCAAGCUCAGGCAGGCUUGUCGCUUGCUUGCGCCUUGUGGUACCACGUACCAGUACCGCACUAGCACUACGAUGCUUGGGACGUCCCAUUCGUUUCCGCCUCCAUUGGCCCAACAGUAGCCGCUAGGAUGGCAACCGCCACGUUAUCCACGGGCAGAGACUCGCACCCGCACCGCUACAGUCAUAUAAUUAACGUUAAGUUGGAAGAAAAAAAAGUAAGCUACAGUCUGCUACGUAUAACACUUGCAUGAGGAAGAAACAUUUGUAUACGAUCGUGCAAAAUAUUAUUUCAUACUGUAGAGUGCAUUUGUAUCGACGAGGUGUUAGUCUUCUAAGGGGUGGAUUAUAGAAUCAUGAUCCAAGGCUUAAACGGAUUGAUAGAUUACUCAUACAACAAGGUGCACCUUUUUAAAAGCCAAACUCAAAAGAACUAAUAGGGUAAGAGAAAUUUUUAGAUAAAUGGCAGACUAGAAAAUUUUUCCACGGUGAGGACAAAGUGUGAAGGUCUAUGAUGUUAUACGGCGAGGACAGAGUGUAAUGUCUAUGAUGGACUGCCAUGUGUAACUGUCACUGAUCCAUUAGUGACUCCCAAGUUAUAUGGUAUACUUUAACACCGAAUGGGAAUCAAUAACAUUCUUGUCAGCACGCAUUAUCCCUGAUGCCACUCUCUCCCACUCUAUCGCUCUCUCAAUUGUGCAACAUCGUCGCACCGACCUCCGUCCUACGAUCAUUUUGUGCCCCGCCUCAUACGCCCGCCCUACCCCCGUCCUUGCCACGUGCACCCCACAUCCACUUGUGCAACCUCCACUUGUGCAGGCUUGUCGACACGCCGCCCUGGCCAUCCUCGACUCCCAAAGGCCGCAUCGCAACGACCGUCGGUGCUUCUAGAAGUGCCUCCCUAUCCCUGGCCCUUCUAGUAAGGAGGCACUUCUAUACCGUGUCGACCCAACCCUAACACUGGUCGAUGCCUCCCACACCCUCGGCCAACACGCAUGUGAACAAGUUUGAUUACACUUAGUUUAAUUGAAGAUGUUGAUUAUUCUCGUCGUUAUUAGUAUGGUCGACAUGAGUUAACUGUUGUUAGAGUUAGUUUAUGAUUGUGAAGCGAUAUUAGUGAUAGUUUGAUUUGGAUUAAUAUAAUUUUAAGCAUGUUACAAUUACUUUAUCUCCUUACUUUAAUAUUGUAUUACACUGUUAGCAUUUUGAAACCUACGCGUCAGCCAUGGUUAGAAAAACUACCAAUAACGAAUACGCUCACCUCCCUAACCAUUGUACCUCCCCGGCUCCCCUUUAUAGAUCUAUGCACGCAAUCACCGUUGAAGAGUUUGACUUGCCCAUCCACCUCCUACCCUUCAUGCGGGGCUUUUAGGGGUACUCACAAUAUUCCCAAUAGUAGUGUCGGGGACCAUAAUUAGGGGUACCCUCAAGACUCCUAAUUCUCAGCUGGUAACCCCCAUCAGCAUAAAGCUGCAAAGGCCUGAUGGGUGCGAUUAGUCAGGGAUCAGUCCAUUCGAGUCACUUGAUCAUGCCUCGCCCGAGCCUAGCCUCGGACAAGGGCAGCCGACCCCGGAGGAUUUCCGUCUCGCCCGAGGCCCCCCUCCAACGGCGGACACAUCUCCGGCUCGCCCGAGGCCCUGCCUUCGCUAAGAAGCAACCCUGACUAAAUCGCCGCACCGACCGACCAAAUCGCAGGAGCAUUUAACGCAAAGGUGGCCUGACACCUUUAUCCUAACGCACGCCCCCCCGGCAGAACCGAAGUGACCGCCGUCACUUCACCGCUCCACUGACCGGCCUGACAGAAGGACAGCGCCGCCUGCGCCACUCCGACUACAGUGCCAUUUGACAGAGUGAGACUGACAGGCAGUCAGGCCCUGCCAAAGGCACCAUAGGAAGCUCCGCUCCGCCCGACCCAGGGCUCGGACUCGGGCUAAGUCCCGGAAGACGGCGAACUCCGCUCCGCCCGACCCAGGGCUCGGACUCGGGCUAAGUCCCGGAAGACGGCGAACUCCGCUCCGCCCGACCCAGGGCUCGGACUCGGGCUAAGACCCGGAAGACGGCGAACUCCGCUCCGCCCGACCCAGGGCUCGGACUCGGGCUGAGACCCGGAAGACGGCGAACUCCGCUCCGCCCGACCCAGGGCUCGGACUCGGGCUCAGCCCCGGAAGACGGCGAACUCCUCUCCGCCCGACCCAGGGCUCGGACUCGGGCUGAGACCCGGAAGACGGCGAACUCCGCUCCGCCCGACCCAGGGCUCGGACUCGGGCUCAGCCCCGGAAGACGGCGAACUCCGCUCCGCCCGACCCAGGGCUCGGACUCGGGCUCAGCCCCAGAAGACGACGAACUCCGCUUCGCCCGACCCCAGGGCUCGGACUCCGCCCUGGCCUCUGCCGAACGACCUCCGCCUCGCCCGACCCAGGGGCUCGGACUCGGCCUCAGCCAUGGAAGACAGACUCGACCUCGGCUUCGGAGGAGCCUCCACAUCGACCAACCUAGGGCGCAGGCCAGCCACGUCAACAGGAAGCGCCAUCAUCACUCUACCCGGAGCUGACUCGGGACGCAGAGAACAAGACCGGUGUCCCAUCUGGCUAGCUCCGCCAGAUAGGCAAUGAUGGCGCCCCGCAUGCACUGUGACGACGGCGGCUCUCAGCUGUGACGACCGGGAAGCAGGAGGACGUCAGCAAGGACCCAACCGCUCCGACAGCUGUCCCUCCGCCAGGCUUCGUCGCUCCUCCGACGGCCACGACAUCACACCAGCUGGGUGCCAAAUUCUCUCCGGCUGCCACAUCGGCAUGUACUUAGGGCGCUAGCUCUCCCCCGCUAGACACGUAGCACUCUGCUGCACCCCCAUUGUACACCUGGAUCCUCUCCUUACGUCUAUAAAAGGAAGGACCAGGGCCCUCUUAGAGAGGGUUGGCCGCGCGGGGACGAGGACGGGGGCAGGCGCUCUCUUGGGGCCGCUCGCUUCCCUCUCCCGCGUGGACGCUUGUAACCCCCUACUGCAAGCGCACCCGACCUGGGCGCGGGACGAACACGAAGGCCACGGGAUUCCCACCUCUCUCACGCUGGUCUCCGGCCGCCUCGCUCCUUUCCCCCCUUCGCGCUCGCCCACGCGCUCGACCCAUCUGGGCUGGGGCACGCGACACUCACUCGUCGGCCCGAGGGACCCCCGGUCUCGAAACGCCGACAAGAUGGUCUAAAAAAUUCCAUAGAAAAAUAAAUAUUUUAUUUUUUUUAAUUUUUGUGACCUUCUGUCUCUAGGACCACUCUCACGCCAGACUCAGUUUGUGUUUUAUUUGCAUUUAAGAAAAUGUUAUGUAAGGGUUUUGAUAAUGUGGUAAUAUUUUCAAUAUGAAAUAUGAAAUAAAUAGAAUUUUCAUGGUAUUAUAACAACUCUCUGCCUCUCUCUCUAAGUUAUAAAAUGAAAUGUCUAUAAGACUCUAUAAUAAUUUUUUUUUAUUAAUAAUAGAUGUGUCAUCCAAAUUUUAUUUUAUUUUUGUAUGAUACGAUAGUUUCAAAAAUAAGACAACAAAAUUUCGAAAUAAUAAUGAGUAAAUACAGCAGGAGUGAAGCCAUAGUGAAUUCUCGCAUGAACCACCACCAAUCGAAGCAUUUACGAGUAAUUCCUUCCGUGGCCGACCGAGUACCCUUGCAACAAGCUGUCUUCAGAUUGAGAGCCCGGCAACAAGGAAUCGCAGCGUGCCAUGUCGGUAGCGGCCGCUUGCGGUGUGCGUACGCGCUAUGACAAACCGUCGCCGAAGCCGCCCGCGCCCCACCAAUUUACCAGGCCCCGCGCGUAGAGGCUGGUCAGCAGCUCCAUCCGCGCCUGUUUGGCAGGUUCCUUCCUAGCCCGUAGUCAGACAUGAGAACCGUAGGCACUCGAUUUUUGAACGCCCGAGCUGAGAUUGCGGCUGGCGCCAGGCACGUUUGCUUGGGUAAUGGGUAGAAACCAAAUUACUUUAUGGCGCCGCGCAGCGCCAAACGUGGAGGACUGAGCGAGGACGCGCCCGCCAGUGUCCCCACUUUCACAACGACGCACGCCCACGCCCACCGCGAACGCCUGUCCGGGCCCGCGCUUUUCUCUGCGCGCGCCUUUCCCGUAGCUCCCGGUGCGGUUUCCCGCCGUUGCUUGGAUCCAAGAGCUACUGGGCCACGCGGCGGAAAAAAGCCGCCGCACACGGCGCCACAGCGAGCAAGGGAGCAGAAGCGGAGCGCGCGGCCAUUUCCGUGCCCCCGCGGCCGCGCUGCUCUCCGCCACGCCCAACUGGCAGUGAGUACAGUACGAGAGCAUGCAUGCGCAGGUCCCGGCAUGCCAUCAGCGCCGAUCGGUGCCCCCUCCGUGCACGCACGUCUCAGUCAAUGCCCCCACGCUCCCCACCGCGCCUCCCCCGCUCCCUCACACGUCCACGUCCCGCGUUACGUGCGCCCAUUGCUUUCCUCCAGUCCCCGCGCCCGGCCUCGUCGCUGAUUGAUUCCUACCCUUGCCCUCGGGCGUGGGUUCCCUGCCGUCCAGGCCAGGUCCAGCAAGGAAAAAUGGUACAGAGUGCACAGCCACACUCUCAAAAAGGUCCAAACAGUACUAGCCGCACCGUGAAUUUGAGAUCUUUUCCAAUCCUGUUACUUCUAGAUUCUAAAUACGAAAACGAAUAUUACUGGUUUACAUGUAAACAGCCGUGCAGAGAAAUUUUUAAUAUUUUAUUAAAAUGUUUUUUUUAAAAAAAAAAACCCAAAGGAGUAGGCCCAGUCGCAUAGCCGCAGCCGUAUGAAGUCAUGCACCGCAGAGUAGUCGUACAUAAUUAUUAGGCGCACCAAGAAAGCCAACGCAUGUAGUAAAGCGGCAGUGAUCCGGAGGCGAGGCGCGGCGCGGCGCGCGGGCCCCACGGCGAGGAGAAGCUGCCGGCUGCCGCCGCGCGAAUCACUGCCCCCUGAUGCCGCUCCUCCAGCUGCGCCAGGCCCACAGCUGUCGGCCGAGAGAGACCACGCCCGGCCCGGUCCUCGCGCCGCAUCCGGAGUACGCGGCCGCCCCGAACACGGAACACGCCCGCGGUCCCAGCGAGGCGCCCAGCCACAGCGGGGCGCGCGCAGGGGAUCCCUCCGCAGCCGGCAACGACGACGACGGGGCCUGCCUUGGCUGCGGGCACACGUGUCGCGCGGGACCCCCCCUGCCCACACGCACACGUUAUUAUUAUUCUCAAGGUCACGAGUAGCACACCGCAGCCGCGAUUCCGUCGUACUCGUACGAACCGAUCGUCGCCGGCGCGGAAAGGUGCAGGUGCAGCCACCCCACCGCUCGAGGAGUCGUCCUCGUCCCGUCCACACCUGCCUCCUGCCCAAGGCCCACGACUCCCCGCUCGGCUCAACCUCGCAUCGCAUCUGCCUUUUUUUUCUUCUUUCUCACGGAUCUGUACUGUACGCGGCCGCCCUGCCGUCUACUUGACGCUGCCAUACCACCAUGGAAUUCAAAAUUAUUUCGUCGCCGCUUGGGCCGUGGUGCGGUGAGAACGAUGAUUACUGUCGUUAUAUGGCGUAGCGUGGAAAGCAGCAGCGCAAACAAGUGGCUCCUUCCUCUGCAGUUCUGCUUCAAAUCAGAAGUAAACUUGUCAGCUGAUGAGCACGUCGUUUGGCUCCAAAUCAGCCUCGUCAAGGAGGAAACAACGGCCAUGCAGAAUGAGACGCGUCCCUGACCAAACCAGAAGUAAACUUGUCGUGUCACCGUGACGGCAACAAAAUAGUCUUCAAUGGAAGAUCGACAGGAAACGUCUGAAGCUUCACCGGAGACAUUUCUUUGGAUCGUUUUUUUUUCGUCAACAAUCAUAUCCUCAGUAUACAUAGAAAUUAAUCAACAUGCUCCAUGGUUUAAAGCCCAUAUCAACGCCGGUUUGAUCUGUCCAGACACACGAACAGAUCUACUCCGUCUCGGCGGAAAAAAAAAACACUACAGUACUAUGUACAAGGCUCCACCAUAUCAUAGUCUACACUCUACAUGCAAGAAAAAAAAAAGACCAAACACCCAGAGCUACACUACAAUUCCUGAUGAAGGCCAAAAGGGAAAAAGGAAACUGCAAAGUCGUCAGCUGAAAACUCCGGUGCGACUAGUUCUCUGCCGGCGGCGGCCAGUUCAGAUCCAGUUCGAAGCUGACCUCCUUCUUUGCCGUCACCGCGGGAGGCGAACAGGUGCGAUCAACCACAGACGAGGAGUCGGAGUCGCUCUGCGCGACGGCGGCUACGGUGACUGGAGCUGAGGCGACCUUGAACAUCCUGUACCCGGCUGCCGCGGCCGCCGCGGCCUGGUUGUAGAGGAAGUACUGAUGUGGGGUCGGGCGCACGACGGGGAAGGCCUUGAACGGAAAGGGCAUGCCGCCGGUGGUGACCGCGCUGACGGCGGCCGCCCGGUGGAAGAGAUCGAGGUCGAGGGCCGGGGUCAGCGGCAUGGCCGCCUGCACAGGCGCUUCGACGCCACACCCGCUGCCGCCACAGCUCGAUUCCAAGGUGGUGCUGUCGCUGCUGGGGCUACCAGCACCGCCGGCGACGGCGACGGCGAGGGGGAACGGGAAGUUAGUCUUGGCCUUGGCGCCACGGAACUCGCGGGCGGCGACGUCGUAGGCCUUGGCGGCCUCCUCGGCCGUGUCGUACGUGCCCAGCCACACGCGACUCUUCUUGGCUGGGUCGCGGAUCUCCGCGGCGUAGCGUCCCCACGGCCGCUUCCUCACGCCUCGGUAGUGUGGACCCAAGCCCAUGCCUCCGACUCCUCCGCCAACGCCAAGCUUCAGGCCGGUGGCCAGCGGCAAUGGCGACUUGUCCGCCACCCGGGGCGCCAUGGUGCACAAGUGGCGUGUGUGCGCGGGUCUUCCGGUUCAGCGAGGUCGUGUGGAGAAGCGAUGUGUGUGUGUGUGUGGCGUCUAGGAUAAGGCAAGGGGGAUUGGGCAGCAUUUAUAGGCAGACGAGUGGGCUAAAAAAGGACAAUAGCUCUAUUCACCCGCCUCCUCCUAUCUUAUAUUUUAUCAAGUAUUUUAAACUUCACUUUGUAAUUAAUAUAGCUUACCGUUUGUACCUAACAAAAGAUACAUCUUAUUCAGAUACUGUUUGAGAUAGCUUAACUUCAAAAAUUUCAACUCAAUUCUAACUUUUUUCUACAUAAACAGAUACAACUCCACGAGCUCUAGCUUUUUUAGAAAAAUCGAAACUAGAGACCAGUUCAUAUAAUUCAUGAAGCUCCUUAGAGGCUACUUUUAGAAACACUGUUUCUAUAUAUUCUCAUGAAGCUGUACGAAAAUAUCCACCAUGCCACUGUUAUACAACAUACAACUUCUGAAAAAUCAAUUGUACUAUAUAAAUUGGGACUUGAGGCCCGACAGAUCUGAUGCUAAAUUUACCCGGUUCUUGUUCUCCAAACGGUAAUGUCAGGGCCUGAUCAUCUACUACUCUCUAUCAUGGGUUAGUUUUUGACUUUUUGUCGACACUGGAUUUCUCAGACGACUUGAGCAAGAACCUCCCGAUGCGGCAAUCCCAAUGUGACGGAUGAGCUCCACCCGGUGCGGCAAGCCCAGCCUCGAUCUUGUCUCGUCUCGUCUCGUGAGGUCUGGCCAUGGUCAUCCAAUCCAGGAGGAGGGAAACGACGAAGACGAGCAGAGGGAGGCGAAGUCAGGCCAUAACUGGACAGGCGAGUCGCGCGCGGCAGAUCAAAAUCACAUGAGCCGAGUCGCGCGCUAACGGCGAGAUCAGGAUCAGCGCGCGGCGCAGAAAGGACCGCGCC
This 27928-nucleotide long non-coding RNA is filed under the name Zea mays. Its description in RNAcentral is "long non-coding RNA (ZMAY_LNC005149)". Lineage: Eukaryota; Viridiplantae; Streptophyta; Magnoliopsida; Poales; Poaceae. The record is from RNAcentral.